This 1220-nucleotide ribosomal RNA is filed under the name Oriental lily hybrid cv. Simplon phytoplasma. Its description in RNAcentral is "bacterial SSU rRNA". It matches the Rfam family "Bacterial small subunit ribosomal RNA", at positions 166 to 1386 of the family's 1533-position model. Lineage: Bacteria; Bacillati; Mycoplasmatota; Mollicutes; Acholeplasmatales; Acholeplasmataceae. The record is from RNAcentral.
AGACUGGAUAGGAGACAAGAGGGCAUCUUCUUGUUUUUAAAAGACCUAGCAAUAGGUAUGCUUAGGGAGGAGCUUGCGUCACAUUAGUUAGUUGGUGGGGUAAAGGCCUACCAAGACUAUGAUGUGUAGCCGGGCUGAGAGGUUGAACGGCCACAUUGGGACUGAGACACGGCCCAAACUCCUACGGGAGGCAGCAGUAGGGAAUUUUCGGCAAUGGAGGAAACUCUGACCGAGCAACGCCGCGUGAACGAUGAAGUAUUUCGGUACGUAAAGUUCUUUUAUUAGGGAAGAAUAAAUGAUGGAAAAAUCAUUCUGACGGUACCUAAUGAAUAAGCCCCGGCUAACUAUGUGCCAGCAGCCGCGGUAAUACAUAGGGGGCAAGCGUUAUCCGGAAUUAUUGGGCGUAAAGGGUGCGUAGGCGGUUAAAUAAGUUUAUGGUCUAAGUGCAAUGCUCAACAUUGUGAUGCUAUAAAAACUGUUUAGCUAGAGUAAGAUAGAGGCAAGUGGAAUUCCAUGUGUAGUGGUAAAAUGCGUAAAUAUAUGGAGGAACACCAGUAGCGAAGGCGGCUUGCUGGGUCUUUACUGACGCUGAGGCACGAAAGCGUGGGGAGCAAACAGGAUUAGAUACCCUGGUAGUCCACGCCGUAAACGAUGAGUACUAAACGUUGGGUAAAACCAGUGUUGAAGUUAACACAUUAAGUACUCCGCCUGAGUAGUACGUACGCAAGUAUGAAACUUAAAGGAAUUGACGGGACUCCGCACAAGCGGUGGAUCAUGUUGUUUAAUUCGAAGGUACCCGAAAAACCUCACCAGGUCUUGACAUGCUUCUGCAAAGCUGUAGAAACACAGUGGAGGUUAUCAGUUGCACAGGUGGUGCAUGGUUGUCGUCAGCUCGUGUCGUGAGAUGUUGGGUUAAGUCCCGCAACGAGCGCAACCCUUAUUGUUAGUUACCAGCACGUAAUGGUGGGGACUUUAGCAAGACUGCCAGUGAUAAAUUGGAGGAAGGUGGGGACGACGUCAAAUCAUCAUGCCCCUUAUGACCUGGGCUACAAACGUGAUACAAUGGCUGUUACAAAGGGUAGCUGAAGCGCAAGUUUUUGGCGAAUCUCAAAAAAACAGUCUCAGUUCGGAUUGAAGUCUGCAACUCGACUUCAUGAAGUUGGAAUCGCUAGUAAUCGCGAAUCAGCAUGUCGCGGUGAAUACGUUCUCGGGGUUUGUAC